This 943-nucleotide ribosomal RNA is filed under the name Nemocoris falleni. RNAcentral describes it as "SSU rRNA". It matches the Rfam family "Eukaryotic small subunit ribosomal RNA", at positions 467 to 1316 of the family's 1831-position model. The record is from RNAcentral. Lineage: Eukaryota; Metazoa; Arthropoda; Insecta; Hemiptera; Coreidae.
GUGACAAAAAAUAACGAUACGGGACUCAUCCGAGGCCCCGUAAUCGGAAUGAGAACACCCUAAAUCCUUUAACGAGGAUCUAUUGGAGGGCAAGUCUGGUGCCAGCAGCCGCGGUAAUUCCAGCUCCAAUAGCGUAUAUUAAAGUUGUUGCGGUUAAAAAGCUCGUAGUUGGUUCUGCGUGCCACGCUGUCGGUUCACCGCCUGCCGGUGCAACUGGCAUGCCGUGGCAUGUCCUGUCGGUGGCGGAUAGGCUUCGCGGCGUGCCUUAUGCGGUAUACCAGCGUGUAGGUUGUCGCGCCGCGUUGUCCUUGUACGCCGGCUCAAUCCUACCGCGGUGCUCUUUACCGAGUGUCGAGGUAGGCCGACACUGUUUACUUUGAACAAAUUAGAGUGCUUAAAGCAGGCUCUUAAAUCAGCCUGAAUAGUGGUGCAUGGAAUAAUGGAACAGGACCUUGGUUCUAUUUUGUUGGUUUCCGGAAUCCAAGGUAAUGAUCAAUAAGGACAGGCGGGGGCAUUCGUAUUGCGACGUUAGAGGUGAAAUUCUUGGAUCGUCGCAAGACGCACUAGAGCGAAAGCAUUUGCCAAGUAUGUCUUAAUUGAUCAAGAACGAAAGUUAGAGGUUCGAAGGCGAUCAGAUACCGCCCUAGUUCUAACCAUAAACGAUGCCAGCCAGCGAUCCGCCGACGUUCCUCCGAUGACUCGGCGGGGAGCUUUCCCCGGGAAACCAAAGCUUUUGGGUUCCGGGGGAAGUAUGGUUGCAAAGCUGAAACUUAAAGGAAUUGACGGAAGGGCACCACCAGGAGUGGAGCCUGCGGCUUAAUUUGACUCAACACGGGAAACCUCACCAGGCCCGGACAUUGGAAGGAUUGACAGAUCGAUAGCUCUUUCUCGAUUCAGUGGGUAGUGGUGCAUGGCCGUUCUUAGUUGGUGGACUGAUUUGUCU